AUGCACGCUGGCGGCGUGCCUAAUACAUGCAAGUCGAGCGAACAGACGAGGAGCUUGCUCCUCUGACGUUAGCGGCGGACGGGUGAGUAACACGUGGAUAGCCUACCUAUAAGACUGGGAUAACUUCGGGAAACCGGAGCUAAUACCGGAUAAUAUAUUGAACCGCAUGGUUCAAUAGUGAAAGACGGUUUUGCUGUCACUUAUAGAUGGAUCCGCGCCGCAUUAGCUAGUUGGUAAGGUAACGGCUUACCAAGGCAACGAUGCGUAGCCGACCUGAGAGGGUGAUCGGCCACACUGGAACUGAGACACGGUCCAGACUCCUACGGGAGGCAGCAAUAGGGAAUCUUCCGCAAUGGGCGAAAGCUUGACGGAGCAACGCCGCGUGAGUGAUGAAGGUCUUCGGAUCGUAAAACUCUGUUAUUAGGGAAGAACAAAUGUGUAAGUAACUAUGCACGUCUUGACGGUACCUAAUCAGAAAGCCACGGCUAACUACGUG
Molecule: ribosomal RNA, 496 nt
Filed under: uncultured bacterium
Lineage: Bacteria
Description: partial 16S ribosomal RNA
Rfam family: Bacterial small subunit ribosomal RNA
Source: RNAcentral